CCUGUUAUUAUUGCGUUAUUAUCAUGUUCUGUUUUAUUAAUACGUUAUUAGCAUCGUCUGGUGUUAUUACUGCCUUAUUAUUGUGUUAUUAGCAUGUUCUUGUUAGGGUUUAAAAUGAGUAGCCACGUUGAACAUCAUAGCCAAAGUGAGUUACAGAGAUUUUUUGUUUGUUUUAACAGGGUAUGGUUGGGGUGCAGCUGGCCUAUGAGUCACUGAUUUGAUUCCUGAGAAGUUCUUCUAAUCAGGAAUCGAUUGUGACAGAGCUCUUUGGGGCCCAGGUAAGCUUGCAGAUGCCAAUGUAAAAUGACAGAUUUUUUCAUUAUAAAAGAUUUUGAUUAUAUAGAAAACAAGACUACAAUAAGUAUAGCAGAUUUCUUUUUGCAACUUUUCUCUUCUGUGCAGCUUCACCACUUCAACUUCUUGGACAUGUUUUAUGAGCUGCCUCUCUUCGGAUACUUUUGACGAAUGACUCAGCUCCUGAGGCAGUAAGUGUCUUAUCAGGAGAUUUAAAAGUGAUACUUGAAUGAAGUUUCAGAACAUGGUCUAUUUUUUCCCAUUUUGUUUUCCCAUAUUUUUAACCCUGAUAUUCCUAAAGUUUGAGGGAGGAUUCUUGGAGAGCCUGUUUGCCAUUAUCAGCAUGUGGGACAUGGACGUGUGGGAGCCUGCAGCAGAGCAGUACUUCACAGCGCUUAUUGAUCAGCUGACAGUGCUUUGUGAAGUACUGUUUUCUCAGCCCCUGGAGCUCUACAGCGACCCAGUAGCCUUAGCCAGUGCAGUUUCGCGGCUCCUCUGGCAGCAUGUCACGCUGAUGAUGGACACGUUGGAGAAACUCUGAGCAGUGUCCUUCUCUCUAAU
This is a long non-coding RNA of Ictalurus punctatus (channel catfish), 855 nucleotides long. The record is from Ensembl. Lineage: Eukaryota; Metazoa; Chordata; Actinopteri; Siluriformes; Ictaluridae.